Molecule: non-coding RNA, 190 nt
Filed under: Paramoeba aestuarina
Lineage: Eukaryota; Discosea; Flabellinia; Dactylopodida; Paramoebidae
Source: RNAcentral
CAUUCUUCUUCUUCUUUUUCUUCUUCUUCUUCUUCUUCCCCUUCCUCCCCCUCUACUUCCAAAAAGACAAAAUCAUCAAAGUCAGCCCCAACCGUGAAAAGUGUGAAAAAGUAAAUAUUCUCACUUUUCUUUCCCUCUCUCCUUCUCCUCCCCUCCUUUGGAAAAAUAAUAACACUGAAAAAUAAAAGAU